RNAcentral lists this ribosomal RNA (545 nucleotides) under uncultured bacterium. RNAcentral's name for it is "bacterial SSU rRNA". It matches the Rfam family "Bacterial small subunit ribosomal RNA", at positions 777 to 1319 of the family's 1533-position model. The record is from RNAcentral.
AAUAGAUACCCUGGUAGUCCACGCCGUAAACGAUGGGCACUAGGUCCUUGGGGGAGCGACCCCUUGAGGGCCGGCGCAAACGCAUUAAGUGCCCCGCCUGGGGAGUACGGCCGCAAGGCUGAAACUCAAAGGAAUUGACGGGGGCCCGCACAAGCGGUGGAGCAUGUGGUUUAAUUCGACGCAACGCGAAGAACCCUACCUGGGUUUGACAUGGCCGGGAAUUUCCGGGGAAACCUGGAAAGCUCUUCGGAGCUCGGUCACAGGUGCUGCAUGGCUGUCGUCAGCUCGUGUCGUGAGAUGCUGGGUUAAGUCCCGCAACGAGCGCAACCCUUGUCACUAGUUACCAGCGGGUAAAGCCGGGAACUCUAGUGAGACUGCCGGUGCCAAACCGGAGGAAGGUGGGGACGACGUCAAGUCAUCAUGGUCCUUACGUCCAGGGCUACACACGUGCUACAAUGGAUGGGACAAUGGGUCGCCAAAGCGCAAGCUGGAGCCAAUCCCAUAAAUCCAUCCUCAGUUCGGAUUGUCGUCUGCAACUCGACGGC